This 75-nucleotide transfer RNA is filed under the name Paractinoplanes deccanensis. RNAcentral describes it as "Actinoplanes deccanensis tRNA-Trp". It matches the Rfam family "tRNA". Rfam says of the family: Transfer RNA (tRNA) molecules are approximately 80 nucleotides in length. Their secondary structure includes four short double-helical elements and three loops (D, anti-codon, and T loops). Further hydrogen bonds mediate the characteristic L-shaped molecular structure. tRNAs have two regions of fundamental functional importance: the anti-codon, which is responsible for specific mRNA codon recognition, and the 3' end, to which the tRNAs corresponding amino acid is attached (by aminoacyl-tRNA synthetases). tRNAs cope with the degeneracy of the genetic code in two manners: having more than one tRNA (with a specific anti-codon) for a particular amino acid; and 'wobble' base-pairing, i.e. permitting non-standard base-pairing at the 3rd anti-codon position. The record is from RNAcentral. Lineage: Bacteria; Bacillati; Actinomycetota; Actinomycetes; Micromonosporales; Micromonosporaceae.
UAUGGGCGUAGCUCAAAUGGUAGAGCAGCGGCCUCCAAAGCCGAAGGUUGCGGGUUCGAUUCCUGCCGCCCGUGU